GAGUUUGAUCGUGGCUCAGGACGAACGCUGGCGGCGUGCUUAACACAUGCAAGUCGAACGAGAAUCUACUGAAAGAGUUUUCGGACAAUGGAAGUAGAGGAAAGUGGCGGACGGGUGAGUAACGCGUGAGGAACCUGCCUUGAAGAGGGGACAACAGUUGGAAACGACUGCUAAUACCGCAUGAUGCAUAAGGGUCGCAUGAUUCUUAUGCCAAAGAUUUAUCGCUUCAAGAUGGCCUCGCGUCUGAUUAGCUAGUUGGCGGGGUAACGGCCCACCAAGGCGACGAUCAGUAGCCGGACUGAGAGGUUGAACGGCCACAUUGGGACUGAGAUACGGCCCAGACUCCUACGGGAGGCAGCAGUGGGGAAUAUUGGGCAAUGGGCGCAAGCCUGACCCAGCAACGCCGCGUGAAGGAAGAAGGCUUUCGGUAUGUAACUUCUAUCAGCAGGGAAGAAAAUGACGGUACCUGACUAAGAAGCCCGGCUAACUACGUGCCAGCAGCCGCCGCGGU
Molecule: ribosomal RNA, 511 nt
Filed under: uncultured microorganism
Description: bacterial SSU rRNA
Rfam family: Bacterial small subunit ribosomal RNA
Source: RNAcentral